GAUGAAGAACGUAGCGAAAUGCGAUACGUAAUGUGAAUUGCAGAAUUCAGUGAAUCAUCGAAUCUUUGAACGCAUAUUGCGCUCUCUGGUAUUCCGGAGAGCAUGCUUGUUUGAGUAUCAGUAAACACCUCAACUUCCAUAUCUUUUUUGAAAUGGGAGCUGGACUUGAGUGAUCCCAACGCUUUUCUCACCGAAAAGUGGCGGGUUACUUGAAAUGCAGGUGCAGCUGGACUUUUCUCUGAGCUAAAAGCAUAUCUAUUUAGUCUGCCUAAAAAACAGAUUAUUACCUUUGCUGCAGCUAACAUAAAGGAGAUUAGUUCUUGUGCUGACUGAUGCAGGAUUCACAGAGACAGCUUCGGCUGGCCUUUGUAAACUCGAUCUCAAAUCAAGUAAGACUACCCGCUGAACUUAAGCAUAUCAAUAAGCGGAGGA
This 432-nucleotide unclassified non-coding RNA is filed under the name soil metagenome. Its description in RNAcentral is "partial contains 5.8S ribosomal RNA, internal transcribed spacer 2, and large subunit ribosomal RNA". The stretch from base 1 to 120 matches the Rfam family "5.8S ribosomal RNA", at positions 35 to 154 of the family's 154-position model. The record is from RNAcentral.